Molecule: ribosomal RNA, 460 nt
Filed under: uncultured bacterium
Lineage: Bacteria
Description: partial 16S ribosomal RNA
Rfam family: Bacterial small subunit ribosomal RNA
Source: RNAcentral
CCUACGGGAGGCAGCAGUGAGGAAUAUUGGUCAAUGGACGCAAGUCUGAACCAGCCAUGCCGCGUGCAGGAAGACGGCUCUAUGAGUUGUAAACUGCUUUUGUACGAGGGUAAACCCAGAUACGCGUAUCUUUCUGCACGUAUCGUACGAAUAAGGAUCGGCUAACUCCGUGCCAGCAGCCGCGGUAAUACGGAGGAUUCAAGCGUUAUCCGGAUUUAUUGGGUUUAAAGGGUGCGUAGGCGGUCGGAUAAGUUAGAGGUGAAAUCCCGAGGCUCAACUUCGGAAUUGCCUCGGAUACUGGUAGGCUAGAGAGCAGUUGCGGUAGGCGGAAUGUAUGGUGUAGCGGUGAAAUGCUUAGAGAUCAUACAGAACACCGAUUGCGAAGGCAGCUUACCAAGCUACUUCUGACGUUGAGGCACGAAAGCGUGGGGAGCAAACAGGAUUAGAUACCCCUGUAGUC